GAUGAAGAACGCAGCGAAAUGCGAUAAGUAAUGUGAAUUGCAGAAUUCAGUGAAUCAUCGAAUCUUUGAACGCACCUUGCACCCUUUGGUAUUCCGAAGGGUAUGCUCGUUUGAGUGUCAUUGUGCUCUCACACUUCUAAUUCCUUUCGGGAUUGGGAGCGGUGGACUUGGGUGUUGCUGCUUUAGUUGUGGCUCACCUCAAAUAAGUUAGUGCAACUCUUGGUUGGACAUAGUACGGCGUGAUAAGUGUCUUCGCCGGCGCCUCUGUAAGGAGGGUGGCCGAUCGGGAGCUCUGUGCUUCAAACCGUCUUCGGACAAUCUUUGACAACUUGACCUCAAAUCGAGUAGGACUACCCGCUGAACUUAAGCAUAUCAAUAAGCGGAGGA
RNAcentral lists this unclassified non-coding RNA (387 nucleotides) under soil metagenome. RNAcentral describes it as "partial contains 5.8S ribosomal RNA, internal transcribed spacer 2, and large subunit ribosomal RNA". The stretch from base 1 to 120 matches the Rfam family "5.8S ribosomal RNA", at positions 35 to 154 of the family's 154-position model. The record is from RNAcentral.